AACAUGUCUUUUUGAUAAUAAUUUAAAGUCUAACCUGCCCACUGAUAAUUUUUGAAGGGCCGCGGUAUAUUGACUGUGCAAAGGUAGCAUAAUCAUUAGUCUUUUAAUUGAAGGCUUGUAUGAAUGGUUGGAUGAGGUAUUAACUGUCUCAAUUUAAUAAAUAAUAGAAUUUUAUUUUUAAGUUAAAAAGCUUAAAUAAUUUUAAAAGACGAGAAGACCCUAUAGAUCUUUAUAUUAAGAUUUUUAAUAAUUUUUUGGUUAAAAUUUAUUUUUAUAAGUUAAAAUAUUGAGUUGGGGUGAUUAAAAAAUUUAAUAAACUUUUUUUUUGUUUUAACAGUAAUUUUUGAAUAAUUGAUCCAUUUUUUGUGAUUAUAAGAUUAAGUUACCUUAGGGAUAACAGCGUAAUUUUUUUGGAGAGUUCUUAUCGAUAAGAGAGAUUGCGACCUCGAUGUUGAAUUAAAGGUUAAUUUUAGGUGUAGAAGUUUAAAAUUUUGGUC
Molecule: ribosomal RNA, 497 nt
Filed under: Neochauliodes sp. 1 YT-2021
Lineage: Eukaryota; Metazoa; Arthropoda; Insecta; Megaloptera; Corydalidae
Description: partial large subunit ribosomal RNA
Source: RNAcentral